AAGCGAUAGUAUGUGAAUUGCAGAUUCGUGAAUCAUCGAAAUCUUUAACGCACCUUGCGCUCUAUGGCAAUCCGUCCAUCAUGCCUGUUUGAGUGCCAUUUAAUCUCUCACCCCCCCGGGCUUUUAGUAAAACACCUUCCCGUCCCUCCCCCCGCCCCGCUACCUAUCUUAAGCCCAACGACCCACCUGUCCCCACCUCUCCCCUUAACCUCCUUCCUUCCUGUCCUCCCUUAUACCUGUCCUUCUCUCAGCAUUUUUUUUUUGUUUUUUCCGACUAUAAUUGGUUUCUUAUUGUUCCCAAUUCCGCUUCUUCUUCUAUAACUCACUUCAAAGAGUUUUCUGCCUCGCCUAGGAGUACCAUUCUCUCUCUAAGGCCAUUUUUCCUGCUCCCCAGAAUCCCUUUAUACAUA
Molecule: unclassified non-coding RNA, 410 nt
Filed under: Malassezia restricta
Lineage: Eukaryota; Fungi; Basidiomycota; Malasseziomycetes; Malasseziales; Malasseziaceae
Description: sequence contains ITS1, 5.8S rRNA gene
Rfam family: 5.8S ribosomal RNA (bases 1-98)
Source: RNAcentral